AGAAAGGAUCCGUAAGAGAUGGGAAAAGACAUUAAGCUAUUGUAAAUAUCUGUCCUUUGAGAGAGAAAGAAGGGGAGAGAGUUGAACAGGCAGUCUCAGACUGCAGAGCAUGUCUAACAAAGUUUCAGGCAGGCCAAAUGAGAGUCUUGAGGCUCAUCUGUCAAGGGUAUCCCCUGUCUCACAGGAACGGACCUGCCUUAGUAUUCCUGCCGUGUUCAGUCCUUGGAGGAGAGAAGCCCAUGGGUAGCAUGACUUAGCAUGAAUGGUGCAGUGGUGAACUCAGUGGAUAGCAGCUGGGGCCAUCCAACAACUAUGCUUCCCCAAGCAGGAGACCUGGGUGGCACAUUUUCAUGGAUACCAAGUACAUGCCUUAUGCUGCACAGAUCUACUUCACACAGCUUUGGAGAACAGCUUCUCCGUGGUUCCUACGGACUUCUCUUUCUGAGGAGAAACUUAGAAAAGUAAGAUUGAACGUUUGUGCUCCCCACCCCCAAAUCCAUAUGUUGAAACACUAAUCUUCAAUGGAUGGCAUUUGGAGAUGAGGCCUUCAGGAGGUAAUCAGAUCAUAAAGGAUGCCUACCACAGCAUGGCUUGAUAAGCGGUGCCAUUUCCGCACCCGGGAUCCGAACCGGCGAACCCCGAACCGCUGAAGCGGAACGUGUGCACUUAACUGUUGCACCACCGGGCCGACCCCGCCCCCAGUACAUAGCUGUGUAUUGUUUAGUUGUGGGUCCUUCUAGUUGUGGCAUGUGGGACGCCACCUCAGCGUGGUUUGAUGAGCAGUGUCAUUUCCGCGCCCAGGAUUCGAACCGGCAAAACCCCGGCCUGCCGAAGCAGAGCGUGUGAAGUUAACAGCUCAGCCACGGGGCCAGCCUCCUAAGAAGCAUGGCGAGGACCCACGAAAUUAUUUCAUGAAGCACUUAAGUCAGGGGAACUGAGAAGAUCUUCGGCAAAUAACUGUGUCUGUAUGUCUGCUGCUGGUGUACCAGGCUGGGGCAAUGGAAAGGAAUCAACCAGUAUUCUUCCUGCUCAGAAGCCAGGAGAGGAGCACUGUGAUGCACAGUGUUUACAAACAACCCGGUCAAUGGUUGGCAAAUUCAAAGACAGUUUAUGGUAGGUAAGCACAAGGUUGAGCAAAGAGGGUCUCAGCAUUUAAAGUUUAAGUUGCAAAGAAAACGACUCCUCCUUUCAAAGGAAUGUUUUGCUGAAAUGCUUAAAAUUUAUUUAUUAGAAGUAAAAAGAUGGCCCAACAGACUUUUACAGAAUCCCCGAAGUGGUGUUCUGGGAGGUUUGUCCUUCCUCGGUCUGCUCUGGAGUCCCAGCAGCCUGGUAGGGGAGGGUGUGGUCAACCUGCUGAGGGCAGGGUCUGUGUUCCUCUGGUUUGUCACCGUAUCCUCCAGAUGUGGC
RNAcentral lists this long non-coding RNA (1407 nucleotides) under Equus caballus (horse). RNAcentral describes it as "lncRNA (ENSECAG00000059662.1)". The record is from RNAcentral. Lineage: Eukaryota; Metazoa; Chordata; Mammalia; Perissodactyla; Equidae.